RNAcentral lists this ribosomal RNA (1495 nucleotides) under uncultured organism. Its description in RNAcentral is "SSU rRNA". It matches the Rfam family "Bacterial small subunit ribosomal RNA". The record is from RNAcentral.
AGGAUGAACGCUGGCGGCGUGCCUAAUACAUGCAAGUCGAACGAGUUCUGAUUAUUGAAAGGUGCUUGCAUCUUGAUUUUAAUUUUGAACGAGUGGCGGACGGGUGAGUAACACGUGGGUAACCUGCCCUUAAGUGGGGGAUAACAUUUGGAAACAGAUGCUAAUACCGCAUAAAUCCAAGAACCGCAUGGUUCUUGGCUGAAAGAUGGCGUAAGCUAUCGCUUUUGGAUGGACCCGCGGCGUAUUAGCUAGUUGGUGAGGUAACGGCUCACCAAGGCAAUGAUACGUAGCCGAACUGAGAGGUUGAUCGGCCACAUUGGGACUGAGACACGGCCCAAACUCCUACGGGAGGCAGCAGUAGGGAAUCUUCCACAAUGGACGCAAGUCUGAUGGAGCAACGCCGCGUGAGUGAAGAAGGCUUUCGGGUCGUAAAACUCUGUUGUUGGAGAAGAAUGGUCGGCAGAGUAACUGUUGUCGGCGUGACGGUAUCCAACCAGAAAGCCACGGCUAACUACGUGCCAGCAGCCGCGGUAAUACGUAGGUGGCAAGCGUCAUCCGGAUUUAUUGGGCGUAAAGCGAGCGCAGGCGGUUUUUUAAGUCUGAUGUGAAAGCCCUCGGCUUAACCGAGGAAGUGCAUCGGAAACUGGGAAACUUGAGUGCAGAAGAGGACAGUGGAACUCCAUGUGUAGCGGUGAAAUGCGUAGAUAUAUGGAAGAACACCAGUGGCGAAGGCGGCUGUCUGGUCUGUAACUGACGCUGAGGCUCGAAAGCAUGGGUAGCGAACAGGAUUAGAUACCCUGGUAGUCCAUGCCGUAAACGAUGAAUGCUAGGUGUUGGAGGGUUUCCGCCCUUCAGUGCCGCAGCUAACGCAUUAAGCAUUCCGCCUGGGGAGUACGACCGCAAGGUUGAAACUCAAAGGAAUUGACGGGGGCCCGCACAAGCGGUGGAGCAUGUGGUUUAAUUCGAAGCAACGCGAAGAACCUUACCAGGUCUUGACAUCUUUUGAUCACCUGAGAGAUCAGGUUUCCCCUUCGGGGGCAAAAUGACAGGUGGUGCAUGGUUGUCGUCAGCUCGUGUCGUGAGAUGUUGGGUUAAGUCCCGCAACGAGCGCAACCCUUAUGACUAGUUGCCAGCAUUUAGUUGGGCACUCUAGUAAGACUGCCGGUGACAAACCGGAGGAAGGUGGGGAUGACGUCAAAUCAUCAUGCCCCUUAUGACCUGGGCUACACACGUGCUACAAUGGAUGGUACAACGAGUUGCGAGACCGCGAGGUCAAGCUAAUCUCUUAAAGCCAUUCUCAGUUCGGACUGUAGGCUGCAACUCGCCUACACGAAGUCGGAAUCGCUAGUAAUCGCGGAUCAGCACGCCGCGGUGAAUACGUUCCCGGGCCUUGUACACACCGCCCGUCACACCAUGAGAGUUUGUAACACCCGAAGCCGGUGGCGUAACCCUUUUAGGGAGCGAGCCGUCUAAGGUGGGACAAAUGAUUAGGGUG